RNAcentral lists this long non-coding RNA (319 nucleotides) under Gossypium barbadense (sea-island cotton). Its description in RNAcentral is "long non-coding RNA (GBAR_LNC020456)". Lineage: Eukaryota; Viridiplantae; Streptophyta; Magnoliopsida; Malvales; Malvaceae. The record is from RNAcentral.
GUUGCUUAGAUUUUAGUUUGUAGAUUCGUGAUGUUAAAAAAUGUUUCAUGAAAAACCAAAUGGUGAAAUAGAAAACGAAUGAGAGCUUUUGAUUCGUGCAAGUGAUGUGAAUAAAAUCUUUUUUUGACAUUGUGAUUUUAACAACCAUGUGACUUAAAUGAAAACUUUUAAACUGUUCAAUAACCGUUUUAUAUCUUUUUUGAAGUUAAGUAACUAAAAUGUAAACUUACUAAAGUUUAGCGAUAUUGAGAGUAGUUUACCCUAAGUUUAAAUAAAAUAAUAUUUAAAUAUUAAAUAUGAAUUAUGACCAGGCCCGGCC